This 468-nucleotide ribosomal RNA is filed under the name uncultured bacterium. RNAcentral describes it as "partial 16S ribosomal RNA". It matches the Rfam family "Bacterial small subunit ribosomal RNA", at positions 28 to 507 of the family's 1533-position model. The record is from RNAcentral.
GACGAACGCUGGCGGCGUGCUUAACACAUGCAAGUCGAACGGAAAGGCCCUGCUUUUGUGGGGUGCUCGUGUGGCGAACGGGUGAGAAACACGUGUGUAACCUCCCCUUGUCUUUGGGAUAACUUCAGGAAACUGGGGCUAAUACCGGAUAGGAGCUCCUGCUGCAUGGUGGGGGUUGGAAAGUUUCGGCGGUUGGGGAUGGUCUCGCGGCUUAUCAGCUUGUUGGGGGGGUAGGGGCUUACCAAGGCUUUGACGGGUAGCCGGCCUGGGAGGGUGACCGGCCACAAUGGGACUGAGAUACGCCCCAGAAGCCAACGGGAGGCAGCGGGGGGGAAUAUUGCACAAUGGGCGGAAGCCUGAGGCAGAAACGCCGGGUGCGGGAUAACGGCCUUCGGGUUGUAAACCGCUUUCGCCUGUGACAAAGCGUGAGUGACGGUAAUGGGUAAAGAAGCACCGGCUAACUACGUG